GGUGGUUUGGUUUGUUAGCUUGAAAGUAUUUCAGCUUAAUCCAACUUCUUCCAUGCAUUAAUCCCAUGCCUCUCUUUAUUUUUGCACCAUCAGAUGGUAUUUAGGAAUUUGUCUGCGCUGAAGUGGAGGAGUCCUUCUGCUUGAAGGAUCUUCCAUGCCACAUUUAUUCCUUGGUGAUUUAAUUCACAUAGAAUCCAAAGAGACCCCGCGUGAGGAUAUGUAGCGCCAUGGGUUGUUUCUUGCGCCCUUUCCUUUCUUAUUUAAAGGGGGCACUCCUAAGGGAUUAACAUGUAUUCCUUGGGUUAUUAGGCAUGAAAUUGAGAGGAGAAAAGAAAGGAAAAAUCAGAGAAAAAGAAAGAAAAAAAUCAAGAGAAAGAAAAGAAAAGAAA
This 389-nucleotide long non-coding RNA is filed under the name Elaeis guineensis (African oil palm). RNAcentral's name for it is "long non-coding RNA (EGUI_LNC036884)". The record is from RNAcentral. Lineage: Eukaryota; Viridiplantae; Streptophyta; Magnoliopsida; Arecales; Arecaceae.